This 857-nucleotide ribosomal RNA is filed under the name uncultured bacterium. RNAcentral's name for it is "SSU rRNA". It matches the Rfam family "Bacterial small subunit ribosomal RNA", at positions 524 to 1381 of the family's 1533-position model. The record is from RNAcentral.
UACGGGAGUGGCAAGCGUUAUCCGGAAUUAUUGGGCGUAAAGCGUCCGCAGGCGGUCUGUCAAGUCUGCUGUUAAAGCGUGGAGCUUAACUCCAUUUCGGCAGUGGAAACUGACAGACUAGAGUGUGGUAGGGGCAGAGGGAAUUCCCGGUGUAGCGGUGAAAUGCGUAGAUAUCGGGAAGAACACCAGUGGCGAAGGCGCUCUGCUGGGCCAUAACUGACGCUCAUGGACGAAAGCCAGGGGAGCGAAAGGGAUUAGAUACCCCUGUAGUCCUGGCCGUAAACGAUGAACACUAGGUGUCGGGGGAAUCGACCCCCUCGGUGUCGUAGCCAACGCGUUAAGUGUUCCGCCUGGGGAGUACGCACGCAAGUGUGAAACUCAAAGGAAUUGACGGGGGCCCGCACAAGCGGUGGAGUAUGUGGUUUAAUUCGAUGCAACGCGAAGAACCUUACCAGGGUUUGACAUCCUGCGAAUCUCUUGGAAACGAGAGAGUGCCUUCGGGAACGCAGUGACAGGUGGUGCAUGGCUGUCGUCAGCUCGUGUCGUGAGAUGUUGGGUUAAGUCCCGCAACGAGCGCAACCCACGUCGUUAGUUGCCAGCAUUUAGUUGGGCACUCUAGCGAGACCGCCGGUGAUAAACCGGAGGAAGGUGUGGAUGACGUCAAGUCAUCAUGCCCCUUACAUCCUGGGCUACACACGUACUACAAUGCUACGGACAAAGGGCAGCAAACUCGCGAGAGCUAGCAAAUCCCAUAAACCGUGGCUCAGUUCAGAUCGUAGGCUGCAACUCGCCUACGUGAAGGAGGAAUCGCUAGUAAUCGCAGGUCAGCAUACUGCGGUGAAUACGUUCCCGGGCAA